AGUGAUAUAGCUCAGUGAUAGAGCACUUGCCUAGUAUGUGCUAGGCCCUGGAUUCAAUCCUCAAUAUCACUA
This 72-nucleotide transfer RNA is filed under the name Marmota monax (woodchuck). It matches the Rfam family "tRNA". Rfam says of the family: Transfer RNA (tRNA) molecules are approximately 80 nucleotides in length. Their secondary structure includes four short double-helical elements and three loops (D, anti-codon, and T loops). Lineage: Eukaryota; Metazoa; Chordata; Mammalia; Rodentia; Sciuridae. The record is from Rfam by way of RNAcentral.